Daphnia magna is the source of this 59-nucleotide non-coding RNA. The record is from Rfam. NCBI's taxonomy places the organism in Eukaryota, Metazoa, Arthropoda, Branchiopoda, Diplostraca, Daphniidae.
GUGGCACAGUGGUAGAGUGCUUGUCUAAGAAUCAAAAUGUCUGAGGUUCGAUUCCCAGC